AGAGUUUGAUCCUGGCUCAGAUUGAACGCUGGCGGCAUGCCUUACACAUGCAAGUCGAACGGCAGCGCGGGAGCAAUCCUGGCGGCGAGUGGCGAACGGGUGAGUAAUACAUCGGAACGUGCCCAAUCGUGGGGGAUAACGCAGCGAAAGCUGUGCUAAUACCGCAUACGAUCUACGGAUGAAAGCAGGGGACUCGCAAGAGCCUUGCGCGAAUGGAGCGGCCGAUGGCUGAUUAGGUAGUUGGUGGGGUAAAGGCUCACCAAGCCGACGAUCUGUAGCUGGUCUGAGAGGACGACCAGCCACACUGGGACUGAGACACGGCCCAGACUCCUACGGGAGGCAGCAGUGGGGAAUUUUGGACAAUGGGCGAAAGCCUGAUCCAGCCAUGCCGCGUGCAGGAUGAAGGCCUUCGGGUUGUAAACUGCUUUUGUACGGAACGAAAAGUCUCCUUCUAAUAAAUGGGGAUCA
This 468-nucleotide ribosomal RNA is filed under the name uncultured soil bacterium. RNAcentral describes it as "bacterial SSU rRNA". It matches the Rfam family "Bacterial small subunit ribosomal RNA", at positions 8 to 472 of the family's 1533-position model. The record is from RNAcentral.